CGCCGCUUGAGACCCUGCAGCUGUCGCCAGAAAAUUUUGCCGGUAAGCGUUUUAAGUUUGAUUUCAGUUCUUUUGGAAUUUCGAGAAGGUUUUGAUGCUGCGUGGUUUUUAUAGUUGAUCCACCAGAGCUUCUGGCCGCCGCCAGAGCUGUGCCGGGGCCGGUUCGAAACCACAGCUGCUUCGUGUUGUUAUUCCGAGCUAUUUAUGCUGCUGCGAGAAUGUGUGGGGCUGUGCUUUGAAGCUGCCUUUGAUUUUGAGUUGAGGUGAAAAGAACUUAUGAGGCGCUUGGAUUAUGAAAUUGCGUUUUGAGGAUAUGGGCGCAGAAGUCACGAAGAGUUUAUUUU
This is a non-coding RNA of Arachis ipaensis, 344 nucleotides long. The record is from RefSeq and is a predicted model, not a curated record. NCBI's taxonomy places the organism in Eukaryota, Viridiplantae, Streptophyta, Magnoliopsida, Fabales, Fabaceae.